This 83-nucleotide transfer RNA is filed under the name Puniceicoccales bacterium. RNAcentral's name for it is "tRNA-Leu". It matches the Rfam family "tRNA". From Rfam's summary of the family: Transfer RNA (tRNA) molecules are approximately 80 nucleotides in length. Their secondary structure includes four short double-helical elements and three loops (D, anti-codon, and T loops). Lineage: Bacteria; Pseudomonadati; Verrucomicrobiota; Opitutia; Puniceicoccales. The record is from RNAcentral.
GCCCGGAUGGCGGAAUAGGCAGACGCGCCUGACUCAAAAUCAGGUUCCCGAAAGGAGUGUGGGUUCGAUUCCCUCUCCGGGUA